GCUGUGCUUGUCGAUGCCCAAUUUCGUCAGAUCUUGGAAGCUAAGGAAGGCUGGCCCUGGUUACUACUUGGAUGGGAAACCACUGGGAAUACCAGGUAAGACAGCA
Molecule: ribosomal RNA, 106 nt
Filed under: Periophthalmus magnuspinnatus
Lineage: Eukaryota; Metazoa; Chordata; Actinopteri; Gobiiformes; Gobiidae
Source: RNAcentral